UGGAGGACAAAGGGCACGUUAAUACUCAGAGGUCUUGGGAUCAUGUGACUCUAUGACUAUGCCUGAGAUUUAUUGUUACUUCAAAUUGAAACAAAAUAAAAAGUGUCUGAGGUGAACGAACAUCAUCUUAAUAUUCUAAUGUCUUGGGAUCCUGACAUUAUAAAAUUAUGACUAUGCCUGAAACUUGCUGCUUGAAAGUGAAACCAAAUAAAAGAUAUCUGAGGUAGAGAACAUCUUAUCAAUAUUCUAAUGUCCCAUGAGUGUGUGUUUGUGCCUAAAAUUUACUUUCUAAUCAGGACCACACCAUUAAUUGAUGUAUGAUUACAUGAAAAAUGUUGGAAAAUAUAAAAAAGUGGCCGCCUUAUGCAUCAAAAAGAAAUUUGUAAUGUAAUUUGUCUUCUUUUUCAACAUAAUUUGCAUAUCAGUAUUUGUCAGAAUAAUCUAAAACUAUUUCACAGCUGAUCAGAGGCUACGAUCUUACAGAAUCACCAUUUAUAUUAACGGAAAAUCAUAUUGCAUAAAAAAACAAUGAAAAUAAUGACCCUGUUUCCCACUGAGGCACGGCGAGAAGCCAGGAAAUAGCCACGGGACCUUCUGACAAGAGUACUCUAGGUAAAGUGAGUUGAGGGAGUGAGUCUUGAACUUUAGCCUUUUGUGAUGUGGAAGCAGCUGAUUGACUGAUUGGGUUAGGUAUUUAUGGCACUGAAGUUAUAAAGGAGCAGAUGUGUUUCUUAUAGUUCUCCCUCAUGACAGUGAAAUAGGGAUAAUUCUGUACUCCCAUGCCUCAAGAAGGAGAGUAGCUGAUUGACUGAUUGGGUUAGGUAUUUAUGGCACUGAAGUUACAAAGGAGCAGCUGUUUCUUAUAGUUCUCCCUCAUGACAUAGUGAAAUAAGGAUAAAUUCUGUACUCCCAUGCCUCAAGAAGGAGAGUAAUGUGGAAGUAGCUGCUUGACUGAUUGGGUUAGGUAUUUAUAGCACUGCAGUUACAUAGGAGCAGCUGUGUUUCUUAUAGUUCUCCCUCAUGACAUAGUGAAAUAAGGAUAAAUUCUGUACUCCCAUGCCUCAAGAAGGAGAGGAAAAUAAUGACACAUAAUAAUAACAAUAAUAAUACGAGUAACAAUAAUAAUAAUAGCAAUAACACUAAUCCUGCCACCUAGUACAAUAUAACCCAAAGCUAACCCAACGUUGCACACAUACAUAAAAAUAUUGAAAGGCAAAAAAUUUCUUUCCUUAAAAAAAAGAGACCAAAUUUUUAACCGUAGGCCUUAAUCUAUGUUACGAGGGGGGUUGGUUACUUACUUUGGCUCAAGUUGGUUAAGUUAGCUCAGGUGUUACCAAACAUUGCAAGUUGAUCAAGUCUUUCCAAGCCAAGUAUAGGGACAAGCAGGGAUCUAGUGCUAUCCAAGACUCAAGGAAGGAGCAAUGAAGAGGAUCAGACCCAUAUUUUCAGUUGCUUUCGGGGCCCACAACAACAACUUCCAAAGGCCAUGAAGGAGAUAAGUUGGAUUCUUGGAGUGUUUUUUUUUAUAUUCAAGGUACAACAAGUAAUUCCCAAAGCCACAGAGGAGAUAAAUUGGGUUCUUGGAGGGUUUUUUUUCGCAUUUACAGUGCAAGAACUUUUUUUCCAAGGCCAUGAAGGAGAUAAGUCGGAUUCUUGGAGUGUUUUUUUUUUGGCAUUCAUGGUGCAAAAACUAAUUCCCAAAGCCACAGAGGAGAUAAAUCGGGUUCUUGGAGUUUUUUUUUUCGCAUUUACAGUGCAAGAACUUUUUUUCCAAGGCCAUGAAGGAGAUAAGUCAGGUUCUUGGAGUGUUUUUUUAUGCAUUCACAGUACAACAAUUAUUUCCCAAGGCCAUGAAGGAGAUUAAUCAGGUUCUUGGAGUGUUGUUUUUUCAUUCAUGGUACAACAACUAUUUUCCGAGGCCACAGAGGAGGAUAGUCGAGUUCUGGUAAGUGUUUUUUUACAUUCAUGGUGCAGAAGCCUUGUCAAACAAUCACUCGGCUCAUAAAGCAACCCUUGGAAAUGACAAAAGCCUCUAGGAAAGCCUUACCGAAUGUGGGUGUGUGAGCCCCGAAAUGUUUGAGGAUAUGGGCCUUGAUCUUUUUGUUACUCUAUGCAUCCAGACACAGGGAGGGAGGGAAGGGAAGGGAAGGUUGCAUGCACUCAAAAGAAUACAGUAAAUCCCUUCUUGAACUUGAUGUCAUGGGGAACUAGGAAAGUCUCUCUCUCUCUCUCAUUUUUUUUUACAGGAAAGGAGGCAGCUAAAAAAUAAAUA
This is a long non-coding RNA of Eriocheir sinensis (Chinese mitten crab), 2272 nucleotides long. RefSeq lists it as uncharacterized. The record is from RefSeq and is a predicted model, not a curated record. The transcript is spliced from 3 exons. NCBI's taxonomy places the organism in Eukaryota, Metazoa, Arthropoda, Malacostraca, Decapoda, Varunidae.